Small nuclear RNA from Echinops telfairi (small Madagascar hedgehog), 102 nucleotides. The record is from RefSeq and is a predicted model, not a curated record. NCBI's taxonomy places the organism in Eukaryota, Metazoa, Chordata, Mammalia, Afrosoricida, Tenrecidae.
GUGCUCACUUUGGCAGCACAUAUGCUAAAAUUGGAACUAUACAGAGAAGAUUAGCAUGGCCCCUGCACAAGGAUGACAUGCAGAGAUGAGCAAUCAGUUGAA